This 168-nucleotide unclassified non-coding RNA is filed under the name uncultured fungus. RNAcentral's name for it is "sequence contains ITS1". Lineage: Eukaryota; Fungi. The record is from RNAcentral.
UCGAGUUUCGACCGAAAGGUCAACUCCCACCCUUUGUGUACUUGACCAGUUGCUUCGGCGGGUCGAUCAUCUCUGAUGACCAUCGGCUUUCCAGCGGAUGUGCGCCCGCCGAAGGAAAUUUCUCACUCUUGUUUAAAGGUUGUCUGAGUUUAAAUUUGAAAAAAAGCA